RNAcentral lists this ribosomal RNA (770 nucleotides) under uncultured bacterium. Its description in RNAcentral is "bacterial SSU rRNA". It matches the Rfam family "Bacterial small subunit ribosomal RNA", at positions 62 to 841 of the family's 1533-position model. The record is from RNAcentral.
UCGAACGAUUAAACUUCCCUUCGGGGAAGAUAUAAAGUGGCGCACGGGUGAGUAACACGUAAGUAAUCUACCUUCGAGUGGGGAAUAACGUCCGGAAACGGACGCUAAUACCGCAUAAUGCAGCGGCACCUAAUGGUGACAGUUGUUAAAGGAGCAAUCCGCUUGAAGAGGAGCUUGCGGCAGAUUAGCUAGUUGGUAAGGUAAUGGCUUACCAAGGCUACGAUCUGUAACCGGUCUAAGAGGACGGUCGGUCACACUGACACUGAAUAACGGGUCAGACUCCUACGGGAGGCAGCAGUCGGGAAUUUUGGGCAAUGGGCGAAAGCCUGACCCAGCAACGCCGCGUGAAGGAUGAAGUAUUUCGGUAUGUAAACUUCGAAAGAAUGGGAAGAAUCAAUGACGGUACCAUUUAUAAGCUCCGGCUAACUACGUGCCAGCAGCCGCGGUAAUACGUAGGGAGCAAGCGUUGUUCGGAUUUACUGGGCGUAAAGGGCGCGUAGGCGGCAAUUCAAGUCAUCUGUGAAAUCUCCGGGCUUAACCCGGAACGGUCAGAUGAUACUGCUUUGCUAGAGUGCGGAAGGGGCAAUCGGAAUUCUUGGUGUAGCGGUGAAAUGCGUAGAUAUCAAGAGGAACACCUGAGGUGAAGACGGGUUGCUGGGCCGACACUGACGCUGACAGCGCGAAAGCCAGGGGAGCAAACGGGAUUAGAUACCCCGGUAGUCCUGGCCCUAAACGAUGAAUACUUGGUGUCUGGAGUUAUUAGUGCUCCG